GAGUCGGUAGCAAUCGGUUAGGCACGCGCGCCUGGACAGCGUGAAAUGCGGGUUCGAGUCCCGCCUGAUGCA
Parelaphostrongylus tenuis is the source of this 72-nucleotide non-coding RNA. The record is from the annotation of a GenBank genome assembly. Lineage: Eukaryota; Metazoa; Nematoda; Chromadorea; Rhabditida; Metastrongylidae.